AAUUCACUCAAAAUAUAAUAUAUUGACAAAAAAAAAAUAAUUGGCAUGAUUUUUCACUUGUUUAAAAGUAAAAAGAAACAUGUAAAAAAAAAUAUUACUUUGUGAUUUAAUAAUUCAUGCAUCAGAGGGUUAAAAGUUUUCGGUAAUUGAAAUUAAGUUUAAAUAAAUCAAAAAUUUAGAUAAAAAAUUCUACAAAAUAUAAUAAAGAUGACAAAAGGACAACAUCAUAUAUAAUAUAAUUUAUAAUAUUCAAUUGAAAAGUGAAAAUAAGCAAAUUCUCAAUAAAAUAAAUACUAUAUAAAUAACAGUAAAACAACACUGAUGGUCAGUUCUAGAGAAAAAUGUCCUUGAAACACAUGAUUUAAAGUAAAAAAAGAAACGUAAAUCGGGUCAUGUUUAUCUGUAUAGUGCUAUUUACAAUACAUGUUUGUUUCAAUAUCAGUAGAUUUCCAGUAAGUCAUCAUGACAAAUGUAUUUUUAAUAGCUGGCUUGUACGUUUUUGAGUUGAAUCUCUCACUUACUGUAACUCACAUCAGGAAAGGCUAGAUUAUUCUCACUAAUGAAUGUAAGCCGAGUGUGUUAAUGUUUCCAUCCAGCUGUUUUAUUUACUUACCACUGUUUAAUCGCAUUUGGAACUUGUUGAGUGUUCAUUUUAGACUCUGCUUGCAUGUUUAUUUCCUUUCAUGCAUAUUCAUUUCUACCUUUUCUUACACACUCUUCUUCUUCUUCUUUUUUUGGCAUCCUGUGAGCCAGAAACACAACAUGCGUGUGUUUGAUGUCCAUCUGAAGCAGGCGGAGGAAACGUCAGUGGGCCCGCGGCGCUCCACUCCUCUGUUGUGUCUACAUUAGCAGCUCGGUCUCCUGGAAAGACAGACCAGACGGACAAACAGGAAGCAGCUGUUGCCAGGGAAACAGGCUGCGGAGCGUGGGAGAGAUUGUGAGGUCUUCCAGCAGCACCUGCACACAGUUGAGUCAACACAGUGCCUCAUUAAAGCCUCGUUUAAUGGUCUUCUGGACACAUCUGCUGGCUUUUUGCUCUCUCAUAUCAGAUCCGCCCUCGACGAGGCUGUAAAUGUUCAUCUGCUGAGUGAAUCUGGGGUGAAAACACACCUGUAGUGUCGCCCUGCCCUCAUGAGCUCACGUCUGGAGACGUGGGUUCGUAAAUCCACCUGCCCUGCCCGCUGUUUUCCUCACAUUCAGCAAAUCCUGGCUUGUUUUUCCUGUGUUUCCUGCACCUGGUGCUCUGCUGCGAUGUGCCAACACUCUCGCCCGUCUGUCAGUCAGAGCUGGCACUGGCCACACAUAACCCACAUUCCUGCCUUAAAGACGCAGGACACCCACAGAACCAUCAUGCAUUCAAUCUGCCUCAGAAGUAUGGAAUGCGGACGGGGACAAAACUCAUUAAAUGGAACACGUGAAAUUUCACUGUGUGAACAUGCACUGUUUGUCUGCGUUCCUUUAGUAUGUGUAGACACGCACAUUCUGGCCAUGUUAAGGUGGCAGGUUUUGCCAUGUUUGUUUGGUAUGAGCAAAGAUGCACAGUUUUACAGUCUUCAGAUGAAAAAUUAUUCUGGAUGUGAUCAAAUACUUUUUAGAGUAUAUCUACAUCUAGAUUUACAUGUAUAUUAAUCAUUUUUUAGUUCAUUGCGGCAUUGCUUUACUGAUAUACUGUACUAGAAUAAAUAAAUGAAUGUUACAAUGUAAAUUAAGACUUUUUUUCCUGAGAAAGAACUAAAAAGGACAUGAGAAAUCAAGACAUAAGAGUGACAUUAAACACAACAUACCGAUGUGUUAUCCCUCAUGAACAAAUACAACGUCUGAUGUCCAGUGUAUUCAUGAUGAUAUCCAUAAAUAAACAUGAUAUCUGAUGUUUAUGUACAUAUAAAAUUAUCGCAUUACAUGUGCAAAUAUAGUCUCAAAUACAGCAAUUUCAUUGGCUGCUGUGUGUGUUGUCAUGUUAACGCGGACAAAAAGUGUGUGCUGACAUGGUGAAUUUCACACGUUCCUUUAAAGGGCUUUUGGCCCUGUCUGCCUUCCAUAUUCUGCCUGCAUCAGAAGCUGUGUUUAAAACAGAGUCUGUUUAGUCUGUUCUGACGUCAGAUGUGGGUGUGUAACCCUAAAUUAGAGCCUAAAAAACGUCACUUUACCAGCAUCCAGAAUCUGCAGUGAGCUCUUCUGAAUGAAGUAUCAUUUCAUUUGAUUGUUUGUCAUACUUUUGUGCUCCAGACAUGAAUGAUUCCUCAAAUCAUGUGUAUUGUUGAGGAUUAAAAGUUAAAAGAUUUAUCAGAUGCACUAUUUACAAAGAAACAUAUACACAUUAUUACACUCUAAAAAAUGCUGGGUUAAAUACAACCCAGCGUUGGGUAAAGUAUGGAAAAACCCAGCGAUUGGGUUGUUUUUGACCCAGCGGUUGGGUUACUGCCCAGAAGUUUGGGUUAAACAUUUAACCUGUUUAACUGUUGGUUGAAAACAACCCAAUCGCUGGGUUUGUCCAUAUUUUACCCAUCGCUGGGCUGAGUGUACAUUUUUAUAUAUUUUAAAAUAACUACAUUUUAAUUAUAUUAAGAAAUAUGAUUAGACAUUUAUCACUGAUAUUCAUUUAUUAUAAAAUGUAUUACUAUUAAAUUUUUUAACAUAUUUGAAGAUAAUGUUCAUAAAUGUUUUUAAUUAAAUUUAGCUAUUAAUGUAUAUUUUAAUUACCAUUACUGACAGUUCAUUAUCUCCCUUUUGUCUCCUCUGUUACUGUGU
Molecule: long non-coding RNA, 2748 nt
Organism: Onychostoma macrolepis
Lineage: Eukaryota; Metazoa; Chordata; Actinopteri; Cypriniformes; Cyprinidae
Exons: 3
Source: RefSeq, a predicted model, not a curated record